Molecule: non-coding RNA, 1166 nt
Organism: Hydra vulgaris (swiftwater hydra)
Lineage: Eukaryota; Metazoa; Cnidaria; Hydrozoa; Anthoathecata; Hydridae
Source: RefSeq, a predicted model, not a curated record
GAAUCUGUUUUAUCUGGUUAUACAGAAUUUUACCAUAAAUCUAAUACAAUCUUUACACAGAUCGUGAAGUGAUUGAGUGUGAUGUUUUUUUUAAAAAAUGUUUAUCCAAUACUUGCAUUCGUUAUUGGAAAGACUCGUUAUUGGAAAGAAGAAUUUUUUGCUUGUUCAAAUCCACUUGUGCUGGUUAUGAAUUAGGUUGGGAAUUUGUUGGCUUUGUAUUGUCCAAAGAAACAAUCAGUGGUUUUUUCAGUUUGUAUUCAAACAAAUACAAGCAUAGAAAUACCUCUUAUUUGCCAUUUAUGUCUACAUAAACUACGCAAACAUUUAUUGAUUUUUUGCUUGGGUCUCCCACAUAGACAUUAAUUUUAGUGGAAAAUGUCAUAAUAGGAAACAAAAAUAGGAACUAGCUUCAAAAAUUCUUUUGUAAAACCUAUAGGCGUCUAGAUAGAUCAUUUGUUUUUAAUUCUGAAAAAUUAGAUUCUAAACAGUUUUCAGAGGCUAGGGCUCAUUUAAGAAAGAUUUGUCUUUAUAUUCUGUCUGUUAAAAACUUGGACUAGUUAAACUUUUUAAUGCUGAUACAUUAAAGUUAAAUUCGAUUCUUGUGAGUUAUAUUCCUGCUGAAUGCGUACCGAUUAGUUAGCUAGCUAGAUUAGUUGUAAUAUCCUCUAACUACAACAAUACACCUUCUGAAGAUAUUUUGUUAUUUAUACAAUAUUGCUGUAACUGUGAAAAAAUUCAUAUUUGUGAUGUCGAACCAAAUAACGCAGAAAUCGUUGAAGGCACUUAUAUGGUAGAACAUAUUUUGAAAAGCAUGGGUUAUAUGGUUAAAAAGCUAAAUAAGAAAAAUGCGAAUGUUUUCUGCAGAAUAAAGCUCCAGUAAUAAUUUGUUUGAUGACUUUUCGUCAAAAAUUUGCAACAAAUUAAUUCCUCGAGUAUCUUAAAAAGGUGCAUAUUUCUUAUGUUAUGGUUUUGCCUUAUACAUGGCCAUUGUUACGCAUUCCAUAUUAACCUGGAUUUUUAAAAAACAACUCCUUUUUUCAUGACAUUUCAUUGCACACACAAAUUUGCUGAUGUUUUUCGAUGUAAUCGUUUGGGGAAUUUUUAUCCAAUAAAUUCAUUCAUCUGCGAACAGUUUCUUUUUUCAGAGUAUAAAAUAUUCUGCUAAA